This 303-nucleotide ribosomal RNA is filed under the name uncultured bacterium. Its description in RNAcentral is "partial 16S ribosomal RNA". It matches the Rfam family "Bacterial small subunit ribosomal RNA", at positions 507 to 807 of the family's 1533-position model. The record is from RNAcentral.
AGCAGUCGCCGCGGUAAUGCGUAGGUGGCAAGCGUUGUCCGGAAUUAUUGGGCGUAAAGGGCUCGCAGGCGGUUUCUUAAGUCUGAUGUGAAAGCCCCCGGCUCAACCGGGGAGGGUCAUUGGAAACUGGGAAACUUGAGUGCAGAAGAGGAGAGUGGAAUUCCACGUGUAGCGGUGAAAUGCGUAGAGAUGUGGAGGAACACCAGUGGCGAAGGCGACUCUCUGGUCUGUAACUGACGCUGAGGAGCGAAAGCGUGGGGAGCGAACAGGAUUAGAUACCCCUGUAGUCCCUGUCUCUUAUAC